AUUGAACGCUGGCGGCAGGCUUAACACAUGCAAGUCGAGCGGAGUGAUGGUGCUUGCACUAUCACUUAGCGGCGGACGGGUGAGUAAUGCUUAGGAAUCUGCCUAUUAGUGGGGGACAACAUCUCGAAAGGGAUGCUAAUACCGCAUACGUCCUACGGGAGAAGGCAGGGGAUCACUUGUGACCUUGCGCUAAUAGAUGAGCCUAAGUCGGAUUAGCUAGUUGGUGGGGUAAAGGCCUACCAAGGCGACGAUCUGUAGCGGGUCUGAGAGGAUGAUCCGCCACACUGGGGCUGAGACACGGCCCAGACUCCUACGUGAUGCAGCAGUGGGGAAUAUUGGACAAUGGGGGGAACCCUGAUCCAGCCAUGCCGCGUGUGUGAAGAAGGCCUUAUGGUUGUAAAGCACUUUAAGCGAGGAGGAGGCUUACCUAGUUAAUACCUGGGAUAAGUGGACGUUACUCGCAGAAUAAGCACCGGCUAACUCUGUGCCAGCCGCCGCCGUAA
Molecule: ribosomal RNA, 503 nt
Filed under: uncultured bacterium
Lineage: Bacteria
Description: partial 16S ribosomal RNA
Rfam family: Bacterial small subunit ribosomal RNA
Source: RNAcentral